Molecule: long non-coding RNA, 1558 nt
Filed under: Citrus x clementina
Lineage: Eukaryota; Viridiplantae; Streptophyta; Magnoliopsida; Sapindales; Rutaceae
Description: Citrus clementina (C. clementina) long non-coding RNA (CCLE_LNC004454)
Source: RNAcentral
AAUGUUCUUUAAUUCAAAUUUAUUUAUUUAAUUAAUAUGUAGUAGUGUAAUUCAGAUAAAAUUUAGAUAUAAAACUUAAAUUGUGCUCUUUAAGAGUUUUUUUUAUAUGCUAUACAUUUCAUCUCAAAUCGUGCCGCGUUUUAAGGCUUGUGUGCCUAAAACCCUAUAUGUCGUGUUGUACCGCAUGUCUUGAUGAAGAGUGCUUGUAUGGAUACAUGCUGUGUCUUUGCGCUGCCUCGUGCCACCCAGUCUGUCGACCAUCUCUACCUAAAACAUUGUUUUAGUGAUAUUAUUUUUAUUACCAAAUGGUAUAAAUUUUUAGUUACCAUACACUUCAUCGGUUCUGUUUGUUUUCUAACUUGAUUGUCAAAUUUUAAGGGAAUGACAUUUUCAUCUCUCUAAAAACAAUUUCAUCAUUUGGCCCCUAAUAAAUUUGUAAUACUCCAUUUAAUCCCUAGAGUUAAAAAAGUAACUACAAAACUCAUUAUUGAAGUCACAUUUAUCAUUCAACAAUCAACAAUAUGUUAGUUAUAUGAUUCUAAUACUGAAAAUGUACUAUUAAACACUUAUUAGGGAUAUAAGUGAUAAAAAUAAUUUUUAAAAAGGAUAAAAAUGUCAUUCUUUAGAUAAAAAAGCAAAUCAAAUUGCUUCGCCCGCACCCCCCCCCCCCCCAAACACCAAAAUCCAAUUGUUUAUGAUGGUAAAAGUUUAAUUUCCAGGCCACCAAGUUUGCCCAAGAAGAAAGGAAAGGAUAAACAAAAUAUAGCUCGGGAUUUGUUAAUUGUUAUGGCAAAAAUGAUAUAUGGACGGAGGUGUAGCCAGGAUUUUGAUCGAGCUAGGGUACAUUUAAAAUCAAACAUGACUCGAACGCGUGACUACGCGCAGUGGCGGAUUUAGAAAACAAUUUAUUGGGGGUUAGAUUACAUAUUAGUAAAAUUUUAAAACUAGAACUUUGAAUGUAUAAAAUACUUGUUAAUAUAUUUAUGACUGUUCUCGACGUAUUUUCAAGAAUAGAAAAAUGUUUGUGGUGAUGUCAUUAUUUUUAAUUAUAGUGUGGGCUUUUAUAAUUCUAAAUGUUAAAGUUUAAAUUUGGUGAAUUUAUAAAUUUAUAGGGUCAAUUUUAAUAGAUUUAAUGGGGGCUAAUUAGAAAUAUUAAAUAUUUUUUCUUUUAUUCUUAGAAUUUUUUUUAGCCAAUGGGGGCUACAACCCCCACUGGUCACAUGGUGCAUCCGAUGCUAACUACGCAUGUGGUAAGUUCUCAUUUGGAACACUGUGUUGUGGGCCCCACAAACUCCAAAUGGGAGCUUGUCUCAUGCACAAUCGUGCUUAUAGAAUGUGUCCGCAUAAAGUAUAAUACACUUCUAAAAAUUUAGAUAGCAAUAUAAAACUUUACAACUAUAAUAGUCAUUAAUAAUAAAUUUACUAAUGAUGAUUGUUCUCGUUGAAAACUCCUUAAUGGAAUUUUAUGAGUUGAAAAUAAUGUAUGGUAGUUUAAUUAUCAAUUUAAGAAAAAAUAUAUUUUUCAAUAUAGACUAGGUUAUUACUUAAUUUUCUUUUA